Molecule: ribosomal RNA, 599 nt
Filed under: uncultured bacterium
Lineage: Bacteria
Description: bacterial SSU rRNA
Rfam family: Bacterial small subunit ribosomal RNA
Source: RNAcentral
AAUGAACGUUGGCGGCGUGGAUUAGGCAUGCAAGUCGAGCGAGAACCCAGCAAUGGGGGACAGCGGCGAAAGGGACAGUAAUGUGUAGAUUAUCUGCCCUCAGGUCCGGGAUAGCUGCGGGAAACUGCAGGUAAUACCGGAUAACAUCUCCGGAUCAAAGGUGUGAUUCCGCCUGAGGAUGAGUCUACAUCCUAUUAGCUAGUUGGUGGGGUAAUGGCCUACCAAGGCUUUGAUGGGUAGCGGGUGUGAGAGCACGACCCGCGUCAUUGGGACUGAGACACUGCCCAGACACCUACGGGUGGCUGCAGUCGAGAAUCUUCGGCAAUGGGCGCAAGCCUGACCGAGCGACGCCGCGUGCGGGAUGAAGGCCUUCGGGUUGUAAACCGCUGUCAGAGGGGAUGAAAUGCAGGUGGGUUCUCCCAUCUGUUUGACAUAGCCUCAGAGGAAGGACGGGCUAAGUUCGUGCCAGCAGCCGCGGUAAGACGAACCGUCCAAACGUUAUUCGGAAUCACUGGGCUUAAAGGGUGCGUAGGCGGCGCGGAAAGUUGGGUGUGAAAUCCCUCGGCUCAACCGAGGAACUGCGCCCAAAACUGCCGUGC